UACGGAGGGAGCUAGCGUUGUUCGGAAUUAUUGGGCGUAAAGAGCUCGUAGGCGGUUUGUCGCGCCGAAUGUGAAAACCCGGGGCUCAACCCCGGGCCUGCAUUCGAUACGGGCAGACUAGAGUUCGGUAGGGGAGUCUGGAAUUCCUGGUGUAGCGGUGAAAUGCGCAGAUAUCAGGAGGAACACCGGUGGCGAAGGCGGGACUCUGGGCCGAUACUGACGCUGAGGAGCGAAAGCGUGGGGAGCAAACAGG
This 253-nucleotide ribosomal RNA is filed under the name uncultured bacterium. RNAcentral's name for it is "partial 16S ribosomal RNA". It matches the Rfam family "Bacterial small subunit ribosomal RNA", at positions 524 to 776 of the family's 1533-position model. The record is from RNAcentral.